This is a long non-coding RNA of Corapipo altera (White-ruffed manakin), 932 nucleotides long. RefSeq lists it as uncharacterized. NCBI's taxonomy places the organism in Eukaryota, Metazoa, Chordata, Aves, Passeriformes, Pipridae. The transcript is spliced from 3 exons. The record is from RefSeq and is a predicted model, not a curated record.
GUCUGAUUACAAGUGAAGGCCUCACGUUCCUCCCUCACAGGCACACACGGGGCCGCAGGUCUCUCCUUGCCUUUUCCUCACAGAUUCGUCAGGGCCAGCUCUGCUCUGCCCCCGCCAUGCAGGGCCUCGGGGACAGUCUGUCCCCAGCCCACAGUGCCUGCCAGUGCCAGCGGCUCCAGGACCGGUGAGGGGAGAAGGCUCCUCUGCCCCCACACUGCUUCUGAGGGGAGGAGAGCCCUCAGAGCUGGGCUGGAGCUGUCAGCCAGGAGAUGAACACAGAGAGAUGGCCCUGGAGUAUUCCACGCUGAUACACAGAUGGAGUCAGAGCUGUUUCUCUCACAGACACGAGUGAACACCUGUUGACAUGUGUGACCUCCCCAGCCUGGCUGUUGGUGAAUAUACCCAGGCUAAAGUGAUUUUAUGCCACCAUACAAAACUUUCAUCAUCGAAGAAUCUUGAUGUCCUAGCAGUGCACGGAGUAGUAUAAAUGAAGACUGUUCAAGAAUAUGUAAGAAGUACUUUGAGAGAAAAGAAAAUGAGGAGAGGCCAACAGGAAUGUUUUAGUGGUGUUAUUAAUGUUGUCUACGUGCAAGACAUGGUGGUACAGAAUCUGUUAGAAUUGGUUUUAGAGGGGUUAAAAUAUGUGUUUGGGGCUCUUUAUAUAUUUUUUCCUACAUUUUUAUUUGACUCUUUGGUUUACCUGCUGUUUACACAUGAAAAUCUCAUUUAUUUUUUAAUUUUAAAAAUGUGCUGCUCCAUUAUGUAUUUAGUCUAUCAAAUAUAUCAUUAUGAAACACUUCUAUCUGGGUUAGAUUCAAGUGUGUGGCAGACUAUGGGCUGUUGCUAUGGCUUCAGUCUUUACAUAAAACUUACACUACUUUGCAUUGUAGUCUUCAAAAAAUAAUCCUUUCCUACAAUAAACAGCUGGGUUA